RNAcentral lists this ribosomal RNA (305 nucleotides) under uncultured bacterium. RNAcentral describes it as "partial 16S ribosomal RNA". It matches the Rfam family "Bacterial small subunit ribosomal RNA", at positions 338 to 659 of the family's 1533-position model. The record is from RNAcentral.
CCUACGGGGGGCAGCAGUGGGGAAUAUUGCACAAUGGGGGAAACCCUGAUGCAGCGACGCCGCGUGAGUGAAGAAGUAUUUCGGUAUGUAAAGCUCUAUCAGCAGGGAAGAAAAAAGACGGUACCUGACUAAGAAGCCCCGGCUAACUACGUGCCAGCAGCCGCGGUAAUACGUAGGGGGCAAGCGUUAUCCGGAUUUGCUGGGUGUAAAGGGAGCGUAGACGGCGCGGCAAGUCUGAAGUGAAAGGCGGGGGCCCAACCCCUGGACUGCUUUGGGAACUGUACGGCUGGAGUGCAGGAGCGGUA